GAUGAAGAACGUAGCGAAAUGCGAUAAGUAAUGUGAAUUGCAGAAUUCAGUGAAUCAUCGAAUCUUUGAACGCACCUUGCGCCCUUUGGCCAUUCCGAAGGGCAUGCCUGUUUGAGUAUCAUGAACACCUCAACUCUUCAUGGUUUUCCGUGAUGAGCUUGGACUUUGGGGGUCUUGCUGGCCUAUGGUCAGCUCCUCUAAAAUAAAUCAGCUUGCCAGUGUUUGGUGGGUAUCACAGGUGUGAUAACUAUCUACGCUUGUGGUUUUCCACCAGGUAACCUUCAGCAGUGGAGGUUCGCUGGAGCUCACAGAUGUGUCUCUCCUCAGUGAGGACAGCUCUUUGAAUGUUUGAUCUCAAAUCAGGUAGGACUACCCGCUGAACUUAAGCAUAUCAAUAAGGGAGGA
This 405-nucleotide unclassified non-coding RNA is filed under the name soil metagenome. RNAcentral's name for it is "partial contains 5.8S ribosomal RNA, internal transcribed spacer 2, and large subunit ribosomal RNA". The stretch from base 1 to 121 matches the Rfam family "5.8S ribosomal RNA", at positions 35 to 154 of the family's 154-position model. The record is from RNAcentral.